GCGGGUAUUGUAGGCGUGUCCAUCCCGGGGAGUGUGAGCGCUCAGCCAAUGGCGCGUUGCACAGGCCACUGUGGGCGUGGUCUACGCUGCCUUACUAUCCAGUCUCAGCUGCUGCUGCACGCUUUGUUCAAAGUACAGUCCGUCCGCUGUGCCGCUUCUUCACGUCACUUUUUACUAACGGAGAGGAGGAGAAAACGCUGAAAUGGAGCUCAGUUUGUCACACGGACACCUUCAGCACCUGUAAUGAACUCAUUAGAGCCGGGUUUGGAUGACUGACUGACUGACUGGGCGAGGUUUACAGCGGAGAGGAAAGGUGAAGCAGUUGGAGAGAGAGACAGAGAAUGGUGACAUGUGCGACUGUUGGGAUUUCUGUCAGGAAUAAGUGACUAACCUUGAGCUGUAGUGUCCACCCUCCUCGUCAUCACCUCUGGACAUCUAUGGAGAGGCUAUGUCGUUUGCUCUCAUGCAUCUCCUGGACUUUCUCCCAGCACCACCACCACCAGCACCAGCAGCAGCAGAGUGAGUUUUAACCCCAGCUGGGCAGUUGAAGACGGCUCACUUCACCUCAUUUGAAUGCCUUUGCAAGGGCUCUGCUGGUUUCUGUGCUGCAGACAGGGCUUCAGUUUGCUGGGACGGGAAUAUGGGGAGAAAGAGGAGGAAGAAUCUCUGGAGUUGCGCAACAAGGAGGAGAUGACUCCCAAUGGACGGACUCCAGCUGAGGUGACCAUUUCUCAGCCAACACGCACAGCCAAUGGGUCAAAUGGAUUCCGUUUUCAUUGGUCGAUUUCCUGCGCACUCAACUGAGGGGUAACUGAGACUCGCUGCAGCGCAAACAAGCGCGUGUCCUGUAACCAUCUCUGAUUGGCCAGCAGCCCAGGAAGGCGGUUCUCGGCAUUUGUGAUUGGUGAACAUAUAUAUCACUCAAAUGAUGAAGACAGAAGAAAAAACCUCAGCGUCUGAGGUUACGUUAUCGCUGUAGUGAAAACCUUAAUAUCAAUGCGAUUAAGGUUAAUCGUUCAGCCUUAUCGCAGACUCAUUUUAUUGAACUGGAUGAAUGCACUACCCCCAUCACACUCACAGUGGACUAAAGACCUUCUUCAUUUCAUGAGAAUGGAAAAGAUUAGACACUUUGAAAGGUAGAUCUAAUAGGUUCUUUGAAAUUUGGCAACCUUUUCUUAGUUAUGCGGAAGAUAAAUUGAAAAUAAACAUUUGAUAAGCUGUGCCA
Molecule: long non-coding RNA, 1225 nt
Filed under: Gouania willdenowi (blunt-snouted clingfish)
Lineage: Eukaryota; Metazoa; Chordata; Actinopteri; Blenniiformes; Gobiesocidae
Description: lncRNA (ENSGWIG00000013093.1)
Source: RNAcentral